This is a long non-coding RNA of Oncorhynchus mykiss (rainbow trout), 2216 nucleotides long. RefSeq lists it as uncharacterized. NCBI's taxonomy places the organism in Eukaryota, Metazoa, Chordata, Actinopteri, Salmoniformes, Salmonidae. The record is from RefSeq and is a predicted model, not a curated record.
ACAUCAUUUUCAGUUCUUUCCGCCCUUUUCAUCGAAAGCAGUGGGAACGUUUUACUUGCGUUUGCUUUUAGUAACGUUCAAGAUGCUUUGGCGGUGCGUUAUCUGCUGCGUUUUUAUUACUUUUUAAUUGAAACUCUUAUUGAGCCGUAUCAAUAGAUUGCAGUCGCAGCCCUGAUUUGGGAUUGCUCUUUGGUAUUGACGGAUGCACUGAGAAAUAUAGAGUGUACGAUUCCUUCUAUCAUCAUGUAAAGAGAAACCACCUUCAACACCUACUUGAUUGCACCCGACCAGAUGAACAGCCAUCGGAGGAAAGCAAAGUACCACCGGAACAAGACAACAUUCAACCCGAUCAGCUACUAGCUAACUCCAGCAUCACUAAUAAUCAACUCCAUACAUCUGACUCAGAUGAAGGGAAAAGGGGCAUUAACCAACACGGUGUCACAGUGCAACAAGAUCUGACAACACAUGCCACUGCUUUUGUGAUAAAUGACAGAGCCAAGCAUUGUCUCUCACAGAAAGGUGUGAAUGACAUUGUUCUGGGGUACAGCAGUAUCAAUCAUCACUAUUGGACAGCCUCAGGAAGCAGAUGGAGGCAGUGCUAAAGAAACAUUCAGGUCAACUUGAAAAAGAUGCAAUGGAUAUAUUUGACAAUUUCAUUGACCCUUUUGCUGGUGUUGCAACAACAUUUAGACAGGACAGUGUUAUUAAGAAGCAGUUUAGCUGUUUGGACGCAGAGGAAAUUCCAAUUGCUCGAACCAUAUGCAGGAUGAAAUGUGGAGGAUCAAAAUACAUUUUCAUCAAAGAUAAUAAAAUAAUUUAUAUACCAUUAGUCAAAAGUCUAGAACAGUUCUUAUCAAACCCAAGGAUUUUGUCUAUGGUUGAAAAGGGACCCCAGAUGUGCAGGGAAAGUUUUUUUAAUGACAUUGUUGAUGGUGCUCUUCUAAAAUCACAUCCCUUAUUUUCAGAGAAAAUCCGUGUUCUGUACACAGAUUAAGUAGAAAUUUGUAAUCCACUAGGAUCCUUUGCAUCAAAAAACAAGUUGUUAAUGGUGUACUAGGAAAUAUACAUCCAAAAUACAGGUCUAAACUGGCUGCUAUCAGGCUACUUGCCAUGGCUAGAUCAGCAGACCUCUGUCAAUCUGGUGUAGAUGUAAUAUUGAAUAUAAUCAUGGAAGACAUGGAUGAUUGUACAGUGGGGUUAAAAUGCUAACUAUUAAAUGGAGAGAAAACGAUAUAUGGUGCCAUGGUUGCUCUCUGUGGAGACACCCUGGCACAACAUGAACUAGCAGGGUUCAAAGAGCGUGUGGGCUUAGCCUACAGUAAGUGCAGACACUGUGAGUGUUCGUUUGACUACAUGCAGUCACACAUCAAUGAGGAUGCAUAUACUAAAAGGACAUUGGAGAAGCAUGUCAGACAGUGUGAUGAAAUAGAAAAGGCACAGACGGACUUGCUUCGCAACAGCCUGAGAACAACAUAUGGGAUCAAUAGAAGGAGCAAGUUAGUUGAAUUCCCAGCCUUUGAUAUCAACAACAAACUCCGCAAUACAUUAUGCAUGUCAUUCUGGAGGGCAUAGCCCCAUCGGAAGUCAAAUGUGUUUUGAAUCAUCUUGUCUUGUCAGGACAACUUGAUCUGGACUCAGUGAAUUCUGUUAUUCUUUUUUAUUUAUUUUUUAAAUUAUUUUUACCCCUUUUUUUUUCUCCCCAUAAACAUAAUAAAUAAACAAUAUUUACGUAGAAAAUUGAGGGACUUCCUAGGUUUCAAUGAAGUAAACCAUGCUGUAUCAGUCAAAUGGCUUGUAAUACAUUCUAAUAAAUACAUAACUCAGAAGUCCAUGAUCUUUGCCAAAGUAUGCCAGGAUUUGGACUGGUCAAAAACAUAUUUAUUGUUGAUUCUAGGCUUUAUUGUUUGGAAUAUCAACCAUUUCAAACUAUACGCUUUGAUAGAAACAUCAUGGUUUAUCAAGUUGAGGUCCCACACCUUGCACAGGCCACUGAGUUAGUGGAUGCUAAAAAGCUGGUUUAUUUAACCUCUUACACAAUUAGCAACAAGAUCCAAACUUAUGUACAAGUCAAAUACCAUCUUGGGGAUGUAAUAGAAUUGUUCAAAUGACUCAGUGUGUUCCCCAGAUAUGAAUAUAGAUAGAUGUCUUUUUUCUGUACUGUAUUUUGUCUACAUGAUUGCUGUGCUGUGUGUAAGAUUGACAUUAAAACAGUGAAU